GCUGGGUGUGGUGGUGUGCACCUGUCAUCCCAGCUACUCGGGAGGCUGAGGUGGGAGGAUCACCUGAGCCCAGGGAGGUUGAGGCUGCAGUGAGCCAUGAUCAGACCACUGCACACCAACCUGGGUGAUAGAGUGAGACCCCAUCUCAA
Molecule: unclassified non-coding RNA, 149 nt
Organism: Pongo abelii (Sumatran orangutan)
Lineage: Eukaryota; Metazoa; Chordata; Mammalia; Primates; Hominidae
Rfam family: Metazoan signal recognition particle RNA
About the family: The signal recognition particle (SRP) is a universally conserved ribonucleoprotein. It is involved in the co-translational targeting of proteins to membranes. The eukaryotic SRP consists of a 300-nucleotide 7S RNA and six proteins: SRPs 72, 68, 54, 19, 14, and 9.
Source: Ensembl